Transfer RNA from Actinospica robiniae DSM 44927, 73 nucleotides. It matches the Rfam family "tRNA". Rfam says of the family: Transfer RNA (tRNA) molecules are approximately 80 nucleotides in length. The record is from Rfam. NCBI's taxonomy places the organism in Bacteria, Bacillati, Actinomycetota, Actinomycetes, Catenulisporales, Actinospicaceae.
GCCCUCGUAGCCCAACGGCAGAGGCACGGCGUUCAGGACGCCGCCGGUGUGAGUUCGAAUCUCACCGAGGGCA